Long non-coding RNA from Nymphaea colorata (pocket water lily), 751 nucleotides. RefSeq lists it as uncharacterized. The transcript is spliced from 2 exons. The record is from RefSeq and is a predicted model, not a curated record. NCBI's taxonomy places the organism in Eukaryota, Viridiplantae, Streptophyta, Magnoliopsida, Nymphaeales, Nymphaeaceae.
CGUCUACACCUUUCAAUUGGUUUCCCCUGUUGCCCUUGCAUUGAUUUACAUCCUUUUCUUCCUCACCCACCUCCCAUUCCUCCUUGCUGAAGAAAAUUGCUCGGUUGGAAGUCGGGACCAUCGUCUACACCUUCAACUGAUUUGGCCUGUUGCCCUUGUAUUUAUUUACAUCCUUCUCUUCCUCACCCACCUCCCAUUCCUCCUUGCUCCUCCUCUUCUUUCGUUUGCACUCGUAGCUUCAAGCUUCAGGGACUCGUAGUUCGUCAAGAUGAGUUAUUACAAUCAGGCACCUCCGAACUAUGGAGCACCCUACCCUGCACCAGGAUACCCUCCACCGGCGGGGCCACCUCCAACGGUGAUCUACAUGCAGGCGCCUCCGCAGCAGGUGCAGACACCUCCGCAGCAGGGCUGCAUGGGUUGUCUCGGACCAGCGCUUUCGGCUCUUUGCUGCUUGGGUUACUGUGGCAUCAGUGGGUCAGGCAUGUGCGACUUCAAUGGGUUAAGCAUGUGCAUGUAACCAGGUUUGCAAGACGCCUUUGUGGUUGACGUUCAAGGCUGUCGUUUCUCCCAGUCUACUUUUUUCGAUGUGUAAAUUAGAUGUGAUUGGCUCAGCCUGUUGUAAUUUUUUUUUUUAAAAAAACAAGUCUUUGUACAUUCUAACAUCAUUGCAGCAUAUGUGCGUACUAUGCGUGAUGUAUUGCUUUUGCAAAUAUAUUCUCAACACAUCUACACCGUUAUGCCAGUUGAAGUA